Molecule: non-coding RNA, 189 nt
Filed under: unclassified sequences
Description: DUF2800 RNA
Rfam family: DUF2800 RNA (bases 31-189)
About the family: Actinobacteria, Firmicutes, Synergistetes (1 example). Terminator (Clostridia)
Source: RNAcentral
AGGCACAGUCAGACGGAAACCCAUCGACUGUCACCAGAUGCUGCAUCACCUGAUCACUGAUGGCUCAACGGUAUCCGGCGGUACAACUGAAUACUUGUAGCUGCCUUUUGAGCGGGUUGGCUGCAAUCCGAAACGGAGAGAUUCGUUAGGACUGCGGUUGGUCUUUUGCACCCAUUAUGCGGCUAUCUU